RNAcentral lists this ribosomal RNA (358 nucleotides) under Demodex brevis. RNAcentral describes it as "partial 28S ribosomal RNA". It matches the Rfam family "Eukaryotic large subunit ribosomal RNA", at positions 651 to 902 of the family's 3401-position model. Lineage: Eukaryota; Metazoa; Arthropoda; Arachnida; Trombidiformes; Demodicidae. The record is from RNAcentral.
GUCUUGAAACACUGAGCAAGGAGUAGACAUGUGCACGAGUUUUAUAGUUAUGAUAAACUCAGGGGCGCAUCGAAAGUCAAAUUUAAACAAUAUGAACGGUCUGUAAUGUUUGAGUUUAGUGUGUAAUUUAAUGCCCGAACUCAAAACAAAUCUUGAAUAUUAGCCCGUUUUUAUUACUGCGAUUUAUUUUUCUAUCUUUGUAUUGUAAAAAAAUGCAAAGGGGCGAAAUUAAAUUCGUCAGUUUAACGGAGCUCGAGUGCAUACGUUGGUACCCGAAAGAUGGUCAACUAUUCAUGGGCAAGAUGAAGCCAGAGGAAACUUUGGUGGAAGUCUUGAGUGAUUNGACGUGCAACUCGAU